GGCAAGAGCAAGAGCAAGCAGGCAGAGGAGUAGGCUUCCUUCUUCCAUGUCUGUUAUAAUAGGCUGCCGGCAGAAGGUGUGGCCCAGAUUAAAGAUGAGUCAUUCCAUCUCAAAGUGGAUCUUCUCGAUUCAAAUGAUUUAAUUAAGAAAAAUAAAAAUCCUCACAGGUGUCCCAGCCUCUUUGGUUUGUUUUAGUUAAUUCCAGAUGUAGUAAUAUUGAUAACCAAAAAUAGCCAUCACAAAAGAAAAAAAAACUAUGCAUGAAUUAUAGAAAAAGUUGUAUUUUACUUACUAAUUUCUUAUUAAAUAAAAUGAUACUUAAAAUCUAGAUAAUUCGGUAUGUACUUAGGUCAUAAAAAAAUUCAUUAUGACCACAGUGUUGGAAAACCAUGGGAGAAGACAAGCGGCUUUAUGGAGAGUCAUGGGAACACCAUGAAGAAUAUUGUCAUUACAGUGGCUUUACAAAUGAGAACUUUUCCUUUGCUGGAAGAAAAUGUUUCAGCAAAGGCCUGGUGGUAUCUGAUCUCAGCUAACCCUUUCCAUCAUUAAAAUGUUCUCUUGCCUAAUACCAGGCGAGGCAGGCUCCAGUUCCCGUCUGGGUUACAGUUGUUCCUAUUUGUCCAACCCCUGGAGGAGUAGAGAUGUGGUGAUAGAGAAGGGUAGCAAGAAGCACUGAGCCUGGUCCUGGGAGCUCAGGCAGGUUUUGCCUUUGAUACCAAUGGAAGGAACAAGUGUCUUUUGUUUGUGAUGCUGUCAGGGCAAGGCAGACAGUAUGCAUGUGUGUAGACAAGAAUGAGAAAGCAGGACACACUGGGUUGGGCCACAGUGUGGAGGACAUGAGCGUCGAUCCAGAGCUGCUGCACACAGGGCACAGAGGUGACUGGCACAGAGGGCUUGUAGCAACAUUUGCUGACGUUCACCAGGUGACUGCACUUGAUCUUGUCUCAACUCAGUUGUAAAAGCCAGAUUACAAAAGCUCCCACCCUAUCCAGCCAAAAAUAUUGGAGGACAUGUUUGUAUUUAAUAACGCGGCACACGUUUGAUCUCAGGACUCCUAGAAACUCACAAAUUUAUGGUGCACUUCCAAGUGCUUUUGUUGAAAUAGACUAUUUUCUGAGUUAAAACUUAAAAUUCAGAGAAGCUUAGGAAAUUAAUUUUUACCCAAAUAGCAACCUAUUAUGUUUCUAUAAACAUUUUGUAUAAAGUAUAUUUCUGAAACAAAUUAGUGGGAGGGUACAUGCUUUCCUCUGUUGAAAGUGUCUCUAUGUAUGGUGUUGGAGAAGAGCUGGGAUCUCAGGCCGGGUUGGAGGGACUGCAUUCUGCAUUCUUUAUGUGAGGAAAGCCUGGUUUUAUGCAGAUGUUCAUUUGGAAAAGGGAAGAGGUUUUAACUGAUUAUUCAAAUAGUAACGGAUAUUUUGUUUACUAUCCCAAAACUCGGUGGUUCUUAAUUUUUGAAGGGUGAGUUGUGGUGUGAAUGAUUAAUUGCUUUCCCUCUGGUGCUGUUCUAUAUUACAGUCUACCCCUACCGUCCUACUUGAAUGGAUCUCUUACCCAUACAUGAUUCUGGAAGACUGAAUGGAUAAUUGCACGUCUGUCUGUAUUAUGAGAGACUACUAUGUUAAAAUACCAAAUUGUUAGCAGGUUAUGAACUGGCCUUAGCAGAAAAGCCUUUAGACUCUGAGACACUAUCAGAAUUAUACUAAUUGAAACAUAUUUUUGUUUCAAAAUUCUGAGCUUGGAUGAAAGUUUCUUCUCAGUUAUUGACAACAGUUAAAGUUACUGUGUGUCACGGGGGAAAUUGAAGUUUGGCAUUCAUACCUUGUAGUAUGUCAUUUGUUCUUUCAGCUAAAAAUGGUAUGAAGAAUACUAAGUUUGCAACUCCAGCCUUGGACAGGCUCUUAGAGCAGGCUUUCACAUACAUGCUCUGAAUUUUUAGUCAUUAACAAUUUAAGAACCUUGUAAAUUAAGACUCAAUGUUUAGUAAAACUACCUUUUUUUUUUGGAUCAAAGUUAUAACUCGUAAGAGAAGCUGAUUUUUUUUUAAAAGAAUCAACUGUGUUUAUUUAUAACCCAAUAAAGGGAAUUUCGCAUUGGUUCUGGUGCCGUGAUUUGUGCUAAGAUGCAAUCCUUUGCUCCUAGCAUUCUGCGUCAGCAAUGCACAUAUCAAGAGCAGCAGAGGGAUUGCACAUCCAUAUUAUUAUGAUCAUAGUCUUUACCCUCAUCUCUUCUUGAAAGUCUGUUAGGAUGAAUAGAUCAGGCCUGAAGAAUUGAUUGUGGGGAAAGAGGGAUGGAAGAAAUGAAAGACUUAGAAUUGGAGCCUGUGUACCACUCUUAUCCUUACACUUAUGGCAUAGGUCUAACGGUGCUGUCCUUUCCGAUGGCUUACUUUUGUGUUAAUUCAACUCCAAUUCAUAGAUCAUGAAGAGAGCACGUGUAAGUUAGUGCCUUUCUAAGUAGUCUUCUAGUCAGCUAGCCAUGAAACCGCCAAUAUGCUCUAUAAUUUUAGAGAAGGAAUUUAAUCCAAGUGACCUAAAAACAUCUCGCAUGCAAUUGAGGGAGGGGUCUUGUGCUCGGCUUUAGGCAGGGACUGCAGAUCAUUGUAGGACUGACCCUCGCAGUGCUUCUAAGUCCUUUGCCACACCAGGAGAACAACCUGGAGGGUGGCUCUGAUCGAGUGCAUACUUCUUAGUACAUAGCUUUGGCUUAGUGAAUAGAAAGCUCGAUGCUUAACCUCCGAGUGGCUUCAACUGGAUAUUGGAAUGCUAAGAAAAUACUGGUUUCACUCUGUGAGUGAGCUUUAUACAGUAAGACAUUGGCUACUGGAGUGCUACUAUAGAGCAACAUCUACACAUCCAUUAAAGAUUGGAAAAAGCAGCAGCACUAAGAUCAUGGUCACUCUGUUGCUUCUACCUCCAUAGUCUCCUGUUAGUAAUGGUAUUGAUGUGACCUGAAUUCUAUUCAUAAUCUUCUUUACAAGUGAAUAUGGAAGACAGGUUUGUUUGUUUUCUGAGGGAAACACAAUAGAAGUAUGGGGGAAUGGAAUCCAUGCACUAAUUGAUCCUGUUCCUAGAGCUUGGCUUUCUACUUUCCUAUUUCAAAUUUAUUUCCUCCCCAUCACUCUCCGGGUUCUAGCCAUUUUAAUUACUGCGAUGGCUCUUGUUUUGUGAUGCAUUUCAUACCACCUACAACCUUCCCCCCAACCCCAUCCCUUUGUCUCCAUUAUUGAGUCUGGACUGGGAAGCUUGACCUUCUUAUAGCUCUGGCCUCUUAUAGCUCCAUCUUCUUUAUAGCACCAUUCUCCACAUAGCUCCUCUUUACAGCCACAGCCUCCUUAGCUGUGUCCUGAGGACCAUGUGCUCAGUCACAUGAAACCAUGUACUUGAUGGCAUGUGAGAGGUCCCAUCAUUCCAGGUACUGUACCCCGGGACUCUGUACUGUAUGCUUCACCUAUCUUCCCAGCUGUGAUUAAAUACGGUGUAGCAGAACUUACUGUCUUUUAUGAGGUUUCAUUGUAUAUGAGGUCAUUUAAAGAACCCUUUCUACAGCAACUAUGUCUAAUAUUUUAAAAGUUCUUGUGUGCUCCUCUUGGAGAAAAAGUGGUAGGUAACAAUAAAAAGAGAUUUUUGUAAUUGUUAAAAUGCAGUGAUAAAAUUAAGGCAGCUUUUCCCAUUUUUUUCUCUUCUUUUUCUUUUUUCUUUUCUUUUUCUUGUGUAAUAUUUUAAACAUACUUAAGGUUUAAGGAAUAUGAAUAUAUAUUAUGUCCAAAACAUGAAAACAAUUCUGAUUACCCAUUCUUUUUCUCAUUGGACGGAUUUAUUUUACUGCUUAAAUUGUAAUAACAGUAUCCAUCAUCAGCGUCGUCUCUGUCGAGGAAACUGACCAGUACACAUCACAGAACUGCACUGAGCAUAUUCUACUGAAGUUGAUAAAAGCUGCAGGUUUUAGUCAUUGGAUGUAGAAGUAGAACUUGUAAUGUUCAAGUUCUCUUAAGAAAUGGGGGAGACAGCCAGGGCCACACAGAGGAACCCUGUCUCAAAAAA
RNAcentral lists this long non-coding RNA (4040 nucleotides) under Mus musculus (house mouse). RNAcentral's name for it is "long non-coding RNA chr16:77043692-77047732". The record is from RNAcentral. Lineage: Eukaryota; Metazoa; Chordata; Mammalia; Rodentia; Muridae.